RNAcentral lists this unclassified non-coding RNA (256 nucleotides) under Ascomycota sp. RNAcentral describes it as "partial contains small subunit ribosomal RNA, internal transcribed spacer 1, and 5.8S ribosomal RNA". The stretch from base 1 to 47 matches the Rfam family "Eukaryotic small subunit ribosomal RNA", at positions 1785 to 1831 of the family's 1831-position model. The record is from RNAcentral. Lineage: Eukaryota; Fungi; Ascomycota.
AAAGUCGUAACAAGGUUUCCGUAGGUGAACCUGCGGAAGGAUCAUUACCGAGACUUCGUCUAGGGCUUCGGCCCACGAACCUCCCACCCAUUGUGAACCUUACCAUUGUUGCUUUGGCGGACCAGCAGGUCUGACCUGCCACCGGCUUUUGGCUGGUGAGAGGCCGCCAGAGUCCACCUAAACUCGUUUAAUUAGUGAUGUCUGAGAGAAAAAAUAAAUAGCAAAAAAACUUUCAACAACGGAUCUCUUGGUUCUG